GACGAACGCUGGCGGCGUGCCUAACACAUGCAAGUCGAGCGAAUGAAGUUCCUUCGGGAAUGGAUUUAGCGGCGGACGGGUGAGUAACACGUGGGCAACCUGCCUCAUAGAGGGGAAUAGCCUUCCGAAAGGGAGAUUAAUACCGCAUAAGAUUGUAGUACCGCAUGAUACAGCAAUUAAAGGAGCAAUCCGCUAUGAGAUGGGCCCGCGGCGCAUUAGCUAGUUGGUGAGGUAACGGCUCACCAAGGCGACGAUGCGUAGCCGACCUGAGAGGGUGAUCGGCCACAUUGGGACUGAGACACGGCCCAGACUCCUACGGGAGGCAGCAGUGGGGAAUAUUGCACAAUGGGGGAAACCCUGAUGCAGCAACGCCGCGUGAGUGAUGACGGCCUUCGGGUUGUAAAGCUCUGUCUUCAGGGACGAUAAUGACGGUACCUGAGGAGGAAGCCACGGCUAACUACGUG
This 464-nucleotide ribosomal RNA is filed under the name uncultured bacterium. RNAcentral's name for it is "bacterial SSU rRNA". It matches the Rfam family "Bacterial small subunit ribosomal RNA", at positions 28 to 507 of the family's 1533-position model. The record is from RNAcentral.